Molecule: non-coding RNA, 349 nt
Organism: Camellia sinensis
Lineage: Eukaryota; Viridiplantae; Streptophyta; Magnoliopsida; Ericales; Theaceae
Source: RefSeq, a predicted model, not a curated record
UCAAGGGUUUAUUUUGUAUUAUGUUGAAUUGCCAAUAGGAUUAAUGAACUAAAUGAUGUUGUACUAUGAUGAAUUAUGUUUGAAUUACGUGACUUGUGUAGGAUUAGCUACAAGGACGGACUACGCACCUGAACACUGCACUCAACCUGGAGAUUUAACCUGCACCUGUGGCUUUUGUUACCCAGUUGUCAAACCCUGAGUAUCAAAGCUAUUAGAUGUUGAUUGUUCAAGUUAUGGAGUUUUGCUAAGUUUUAAUUUGUACCCUAAUUGUCUGUUAAGAUCGGCGUAUAUGUAUAUGUACAUAGCUAUCUUCGGAUGCAUGACAAUGUAUAUUAUCUGCAUUAUGUUU